CCCUUAGAUGUUCUGGGCCGCACACGCGCUACACUGAAGGAGGCAGCGUGUACUCCUGGAUCGAAAGAUUUGGGUAACCCGCGAAUCUCCUUCGGGCUAGGGAUUGAGGUUUGCAAUUAUCCUUCAUGAACGAGGAAUUCCCAGUAAGUGCAAGUCAUAAGCUUGCGCUGACUACGUCCCUGCCCUUUGUACACACCGCCCGUCGCUACUACCGAUUGAAUGAUUUAGUGAGGACUUCGGACUGGGACCGAUGCGGCUUUCGGGCUGCGUCGGUAUUCUGGAAAGAUGUCCAAACUGUAUCAUUUAGAGGAAGUAAAAGUCGUAACA
This 327-nucleotide ribosomal RNA is filed under the name uncultured eukaryote. RNAcentral describes it as "partial 18S ribosomal RNA". It matches the Rfam family "Eukaryotic small subunit ribosomal RNA", at positions 1470 to 1796 of the family's 1831-position model. The record is from RNAcentral.